This is a non-coding RNA of Myotis brandtii (Brandt's bat), 74 nucleotides long. Lineage: Eukaryota; Metazoa; Chordata; Mammalia; Chiroptera; Vespertilionidae. The record is from Rfam.
AGUGGGGUGGGAGGACCCUCGGCCCGGAUUGUGAGAGGGUGCAGGCCAGGCCGAGGGACUCCCACUGGUGCACA